CCUACGGGAGGCAGCAGUGGGGAAUCUUGCGCAAUGGGCGAAAGCCUGACGCAGCAACGCCGCGUGCGGGAAGAAGGCCUUAGGGUUGUAAACCGCUUUCAGUAGGAACGAAAAUGACGGUACCUGCAGAAGAAGGUGCGGCCAACUACGUGCCAGCAGCCGCGGUGACACGUAGGCACCAAGCGUUGUCCGGAUUUAUUGGGCGUAAAGAGCUCGUAGGCGGUUCAGUAAGUCGGGUGUGAAAACUCUGGGCUUAACCCAGAGCCGCCACUCGAUACUGCUGUGACUUGAGUUCGGUAGGGGAGCAGGGAAUUCCUAGUGUAGCGGUGAAAUGCGCAGAUAUUAGGAGGAACACCGGUGGCGAAGGCGCUGCUCUGGGCCGAUACUGACGCUGAGGAGCGAAAGCGUGGGUAGCAAACAGGAUUAGAUACCCUGGUAGUCCACGCCGUAAACGUUGGGCACUAGGUGUGGGUUCCAACCAACGGAAUCCGCGCCGUCGCUAACGCAUUAAGUGCCCCGCCUGGGGAGUACGGCGGCACGCAAACUCAAAGGAAUUGACGG
RNAcentral lists this ribosomal RNA (561 nucleotides) under uncultured bacterium. RNAcentral's name for it is "bacterial SSU rRNA". It matches the Rfam family "Bacterial small subunit ribosomal RNA", at positions 338 to 916 of the family's 1533-position model. The record is from RNAcentral.